RNAcentral lists this ribosomal RNA (497 nucleotides) under uncultured bacterium. RNAcentral's name for it is "partial 16S ribosomal RNA". It matches the Rfam family "Bacterial small subunit ribosomal RNA", at positions 28 to 507 of the family's 1533-position model. The record is from RNAcentral.
GAUGAACGCUGGCGGCGUGCCUAAUACAUGCAAGUCGAGCGAACAGACGAGGAGCUUGCUCCUCUGACGUUAGCGGCGGACGGGUGAGUAACACGUGGAUAACCUACCUAUAAGACUGGGAUAACUUCGGGAAACCGGAGCUAAUACCGGAUAACAUGUUGAACCGCAUGGUUCAACAGUGAAAGACGCUCUUGCUGUCACUUAUAGAUGGAUCCGCGCCGCAUUAGCUAGUUGGUAAGGUAACGGCUUACCAAGGCAACGAUGCGUAGCCGACCUGAGAGGGUGAUCGCCCACACUGGAACUGAGACACGGUCCACACUCCUACGGGAGGCAGCAGUAGGGAAUCUUCCGCAAUGGGCGAAAGCCUGACGGAGCAACGCCGCGUGAGUGAAGAAGGUCUUCGGAUCGUAAAACUCUGUUAUUAGUAAAGAACAAAUGUGUAAUUAACUAUGCACGUCUUGACGGUACCUAAUCAGAAAGCCACGGCUAACUACGUG